RNAcentral lists this transfer RNA (70 nucleotides) under Marmota monax (woodchuck). RNAcentral's name for it is "tRNA.Ala". The record is from RNAcentral. Lineage: Eukaryota; Metazoa; Chordata; Mammalia; Rodentia; Sciuridae.
AUGUGGUUCAAGUGGUAACACACUUGCCUGGCAUGCAUGGGGCACUGGGUUCGAUCCUCAGAACCACAUA